Small nuclear RNA from Vigna angularis (adzuki bean), 145 nucleotides. It matches the Rfam family "U4 spliceosomal RNA". Rfam says of the family: U4 small nuclear RNA (U4 snRNA) is a component of the major U2-dependent spliceosome. The structure of U4 snRNA from yeast and human has been reported. U4 snRNA presents a k-turn RNA motif in the 5p-SL related to recognition of Snu13 protein. The record is from Rfam. Lineage: Eukaryota; Viridiplantae; Streptophyta; Magnoliopsida; Fabales; Fabaceae.
AUCUUUGCGCUUGGGAGCAAUGACGCAGCUAGUGAGAUUCUAACCGAGGUGCGUGUAUUGCUGGUUGAAAACUAUUUCCAAACCUCCUCUUUAUUCUGGGUUCAUCUUUGGCCUUUGAGAAUUUCUGGAAGAGCUCCCUUAGGAG